UGGGGGAUAUUGCACAAUGGGCGAAAGCUGAUGCAGCGACGCCGCGUGGGGGAUGAAGGCCUUCGGGUUGUAAACUUCUUUUGCUCUGAACAAGGCGCACCAUGGGGGGGGUUGAGUGGAGGGGUUGAUUAGCGCCGGCUAACUACGUGCCAGCAGCCGCGGUAAUACGUAGGGCGCGUGCGUUGUCCGGAAUUAUUGGGCGUAAAGGGCUUGUAGGUGGCUGGUUGCGUCUGUCGUGAAAGCUCAUGGCUUAACUGUGGGUUUGCGGUGGGUACGGGCUGGCUUGAGUGCAGUAGGGGAGGCUGGAAUUCCUGGUGUAGCGGUGGAAUGCGCAGAUAUCAGGAGGAAUACCGGUGGCGAAGGCGGGUCUCUGGGCUGUUACUGACACUGAGGAGCGAAAGCAUGGGGAGCGAACAGG
This 418-nucleotide ribosomal RNA is filed under the name bacterium. Its description in RNAcentral is "partial 16S ribosomal RNA". It matches the Rfam family "Bacterial small subunit ribosomal RNA", at positions 355 to 776 of the family's 1533-position model. The record is from RNAcentral.